AUGAACGCUGGCGGCGUGCCUAAUACAUGCAAGUCGAGCGCACAGAUGAGGAGCUUGCUCCUCUGACGUUAGCGGCGGACGGGUGAGUAACACGUGGAUAACCUACCUAUAAGACUGGGAUAACUUCGGGAAACCGGAGCUAAUACCGGAUAAUAUAUUGAACCGCAUGGUUCAAUAGUGAAAGACGGUUUUGCUGUCACUUAUAGAUGGAUCCGCGCCGCAUUAGCUAGUUGGUAAGGUAACGGCUUACCAAGGCAACGAUGCGUAGCCGACCUGAGAGGGUGAUCGGCCACACUGGAACUGAGACACGGUCCAGACUCCUACGGGAGGCAGCAGUAGGGAAUCUUCCGCAAUGGGCGAAAGCCUGACGGAGCAACGCCGCGUGAGUGAUGAAGGUCUUCAGAUCGUAAAACUCUGUUAUUAGGGAAGAACAAAUGUGUAAGUAACUAUGCACGUCUUGACGGUACCUAAUCAGAAAGCCACGGCUAACUACGUG
Molecule: ribosomal RNA, 496 nt
Filed under: uncultured bacterium
Lineage: Bacteria
Description: partial 16S ribosomal RNA
Rfam family: Bacterial small subunit ribosomal RNA
Source: RNAcentral